AGCAGCCGCGGUAAUUCCAGCUCCAAUAGCGUAUAUUAAAGUUGUUGCAGUUAAAAAGCUCGUAGUUGAAUUUCGGGAUCAAUAUUUCGGUCAUGCCGUUGGUAUGCACUGUUAUCAUUGAUUUCUCACCUUCUAAAGAACCGUAAUGCCAUUAAUUUGGUGUUACGGGGAAUUAGGACUGUUACCUUGAAAAAUUAGAGUGUUUAAAGCAGGCUCACGCUUGAAUACAUUAGCAUGGAAUAAUGAAAUAGGACAUCCGAUUCUAUUUUGUUGGUUUCUAGGAUCGAUGUAAUGAUUAAUAGGGAUAGUUGGGGGCAUUAGUAUUCAAUUGUCAGAGGUGAAAUUCUUGGAUUUAUUGAAAGACUAACUACUGCGAAAGCAUUUGCCAAGGAUGUUUUCAUUAAUCAAGAAACGAAAGUUAGGGGAUCGAAGACGAUCAGAUACCGUCGUAGUCUUAAACC
This 461-nucleotide ribosomal RNA is filed under the name uncultured Glomus. RNAcentral describes it as "SSU rRNA". It matches the Rfam family "Eukaryotic small subunit ribosomal RNA", at positions 569 to 1031 of the family's 1831-position model. Lineage: Eukaryota; Fungi; Glomeromycota; Glomeromycetes; Glomerales; Glomeraceae. The record is from RNAcentral.